AGAGUUUGAUCCUGGCUCAGGAUGAACGCUGGCGGCGUGCUUAACACAUGCAAGUCGAACGAACCUUCGGGUUAGUGGCGGACGGGUGAGUAACGCGUGGGAAUCUGCCCUCAGGAGGGGGAUAACGGCUGGAAACGGCCGCUAAUACCCCAUAUGCCGAGAGGUGAAAUGAAUUUCGCCUGAGGAUGAGCCCGCGUCUGAUUAGCUAGUUGGUGAGGUAAUGGCUCACCAAGGCUUCGAUCAGUAGCUGGUCUGAGAGGAUGAUCAGCCACACUGGGACUGAGACACGGCCCAGACUCCUACGGGAGGCAGCAGUGGGGAAUUUUCCGCAAUGGGCGCAAGCCUGACGGAGCAACGCCGCGUGAGGGAUGAAGGCCUCUGGGCUGUAAACCUCUUUUCUCAAGGAAGAAGAUCUGACGGUACUUGAGGAAUAAGCCACGGCUAAUUCCGUGCCAGCAGCCGCGGUAAUACGGGAGUGGCAAGCGUUAUCCGGAAUUAUUGGGCGUAAAGCGUCCGCAGGCGGCCUUUCAAGUCUGCUGUUAAAGCGUGGAGCUUAACUCCAUCAAGGCAGUGGAAACUGUUGGGCUUGAGUGUGGUAGGGGCAGAGGGAAUUCCCGGUGUAGCGGUGAAAUGCGUAGAUAUCGGGAAGAACACCAGUGGCGAAGGCGCUCUGCUGGGCCAUAACUGACGCUCAUGGACGAAAGCCAGGGGAGCGAAAGGGAUUAGAUACCCCUGUAGUCCUGGCCGUAAACGAUGAACACUAGGUGUCGGGGGAAUCGACCCCCUCGGUGUCGUAGCCAACGCGUUAAGUGUUCCGCCUGGGGAGUACGCACGCAAGUGUGAAACUCAAAGGAAUUGACGGGGGCCCGCACAAGCGGUGGAGUAUGUGGUUUAAUUCGAUGCAACGCGAAGAACCUUACCAGGGUUUGACAUCCUGCGUACCUCUUAGAAAUUUGAGGGUGCCUUCGGGAACGCAGUGACAGGUGGUGCAUGGCUGUCGUCAGCUCGUGUCGUGAGAUGUUGGGUUAAGUCCCGCAACGAGCGCAACCCACGUUUUUAGUUGCCAGCAUUCAGUUGGGCACUCUAGAGAGACCGCCGGUGAUAAACCGGAGGAAGGUGUGGAUGACGUCAAGUCAUCAUGCCCCUUACAUCCUGGGCUACACACGUACUACAAUGCUACGGACAAAGGGCAGCUAACUCGCGAGAGCAAGCAAAUCCCAUAAACCGUGGCUCAGUUCAGAUCGUAGGCUGCAACUCGCCUACGUGAAGUAGGAAUCGCUAGUAAUCGCAGGUCAGCAUACUGCGGUGAAUACGUUCCCGGGCCUUGUACACACCGCCCGUCACACCAUGGAAGUUGGCCACGCCCGAAGUCGUUACUCCAACCCUUGUGGAGGAGGACGCCGAAGGUGGGGCUGAUGACUGGGGUGAAGUCGUAACAAGGUAGCCGUACCGGAAGGUGCGGCUG
Molecule: ribosomal RNA, 1465 nt
Filed under: Prochlorococcus sp. AG-409-A19
Lineage: Bacteria; Bacillati; Cyanobacteriota; Cyanophyceae; Synechococcales; Prochlorococcaceae
Description: bacterial SSU rRNA
Rfam family: Bacterial small subunit ribosomal RNA
Source: RNAcentral